RNAcentral lists this ribosomal RNA (1631 nucleotides) under Staphylococcus aureus. Its description in RNAcentral is "partial 23S ribosomal RNA". It matches the Rfam family "Bacterial large subunit ribosomal RNA", at positions 513 to 2148 of the family's 2925-position model. Lineage: Bacteria; Bacillati; Bacillota; Bacilli; Caryophanales; Staphylococcaceae. The record is from RNAcentral.
GGUGAAAAGCACCCCGGAAGGGGAGUGAAAUAGAACCUGAAACCGUGUGCUUACAAGUAGUCAGAGCCCGUUAAUGGGUGAUGGCGUGCCUUUUGUAGAAUGAACCGGCGAGUUACGAUUUGAUGCAAGGUUAAGCAGUAAAUGUGGAGCCGUAGCGAAAGCGAGUCUGAAUAGGGCGUUUAGUAUUUGGUCGUAGACCCGAAACCAGGUGAUCUACCCUUGGUCAGGUUGAAGUUCAGGUAACACUGAAUGGAGGACCGAACCGACUUACGUUGAAAAGUGAGCGGAUGAACUGAGGGUAGCGGAGAAAUUCCAAUCGAACCUGGAGAUAGCUGGUUCUCUCCGAAAUAGCUUUAGGGCUAGCCUCAAGUGAUGAUUAUUGGAGGUAGAGCACUGUUUGGACGAGGGGCCCCUCUCGGGUUACCGAAUUCAGACAAACUCCGAAUGCCAAUUAAUUUAACUUGGGAGUCAGAACAUGGGUGAUAAGGUCCGUGUUCGAAAGGGAAACAGCCCAGACCACCAGCUAAGGUCCCAAAAUAUAUGUUAAGUGGAAAAGGAUGUGGCGUUGCCCAGACAACUAGGAUGUUGGCUUAGAAGCAGCCAUCAUUUAAAGAGUGCGUAAUAGCUCACUAGUCGAGUGACACUGCGCCGAAAAUGUACCGGGGCUAAACAUAUUACCGAAGCUGUGGAUUGUCCUUUGGACAAUGGUAGGAGAGCGUUCUAAGGGCGUUGAAGCAUGAUCGUAAGGACAUGUGGAGCGCUUAGAAGUGAGAAUGCCGGUGUGAGUAGCGAAAGACGGGUGAGAAUCCCGUCCACCGAUUGACUAAGGUUUCCAGAGGAAGGCUCGUCCGCUCUGGGUUAGUCGGGUCCUAAGCUGAGGCCGACAGGCGUAGGCGAUGGAUAACAGGUUGAUAUUCCUGUACCACCUAUAAUCGUUUUAAUCGAUGGGGGGACGCAGUAGGAUAGGCGAAGCGUGCGAUUGGAUUGCACGUCUAAGCAGUAAGGCUGAGUAUUAGGCAAAUCCGGUACUCAUUAAGGCUGAGCUGUGAUGGGGAGAAGACAUUGUGUCUUCGAGUCGUUGAUUUCACACUGCCGAGAAAAGCCUCUAGAUAGAAAAUAGGUGCCCGUACCGCAAACCGACACAGGUAGUCAAGAUGAGAAUUCUAAGGUGAGCGAGCGAACUCUCGUUAAGGAACUCGGCAAAAUGACCCCGUAACUUCGGGAGAAGGGGUGCUCUUUAGGGUUAACGCCCAGAAGAGCCGCAGUGAAUAGGCCCAAGCGACUGUUUAUCAAAAACACAGGUCUCUGCUAAACCGUAAGGUGAUGUAUAGGGGCUGACGCCUGCCCGGUGCUGGAAGGUUAAGAGGAGUGGUUAGCUUCUGCGAAGCUACGAAUCGAAGCCCCAGUAAACGGCGGCCGUAACUAUAACGGUCCUAAGGUAGCGAAAUUCCUUGUCGGGUAAGUUCCGACCCGCACGAAAGGCGUAACGAUUUGGGCACUGUCUCAACGAGAGACUCGGUGAAAUCAUAGUACCUGUGAAGAUGCAGGUUACCCGCGACAGGACGGAAAGACCCCGUGGAGCUUUACUGUAGCCUGAUAUUGAAAUUCGGCACAGCUUGUACAGGAUAGGU